GCUGGGCAUGGUGGCUCACACCUGUAAUCCCCACUACUCAGGAGGCUAAGGCAGGAGGAUCUCAAAUUCAAGGCCAGCCUCAGCAAUUUAGCAAGGCCUUAAGUAACUUAGAGAGACCUGGUCUCAA
This 127-nucleotide small RNA is filed under the name Marmota monax (woodchuck). The record is from RNAcentral. Lineage: Eukaryota; Metazoa; Chordata; Mammalia; Rodentia; Sciuridae.